AGAACCUGAAACCGUGUGCUUACAAGUAGUCAGAGCCCGUUAAUGGGUGAUGGCGUGCCUUUUGUAGAAUGAACCGGCGAGUUACGAUUUGAUGCAAGGUUAAGCAGUAAAUGUGGAGCCGUAGCGAAAGCGAGUCUGAAUAGGGCGUUUAGUAUUUGGUCGUAGACCCGAAACCAGGUGAUCUACCCUUGGUCAGGUUGAAGUUCAGGUAACACUGAAUGGAGGACCGAACCGACUUACGUUGAAAAGUGAGCGGAUGAACUGAGGGUAGCGGAGAAAUUCCAAUCGAACCUGGAGAUAGCUGGUUCUCUCCGAAAUAGCUUUAGGGCUAGCCUCAAGUGAUGAUUAUUGGAGGUAGAGCACUGUUUGGACGAGGGGCCCCUCUCGGGUUACCGAAUUCAGACAAACUCCGAAUGCCAAUUAAUUUAACUUGGGAGUCAGAACAUGGGUGAUAAGGUCCGUGUUCGAAAGGGAAACAGCCCAGACCACCAGCUAAGGUCCCAAAAUAUAUGUUAAGUGGAAAAGGAUGUGGCGUUGCCCAGACAACUAGGAUGUUGGCUUAGAAGCAGCCAUCAUUUAAAGAGUGCGUAAUAGCUCACUAGUCGAGUGACACUGCGCCGAAAAUGUACCGGGGCUAAACAUAUUACCGAAGCUGUGGAUUGUCCUUUGGACAAUGGUAGGAGAGCGUUCUAAGGGCGUUGAAGCAUGAUCGCAAGGACAUGUGGAGCGCUUAGAAGUGAGAAUGCCGGUGUGAGUAGCGAAAGACGGGUGAGAAUCCCGUCCACCGAUUGACUAAGGUUUCCAGAGGAAGGCUCGUCCGCUCUGGGUUAGUCGGGUCCUAAGCUGAGGCCGACAGGCGUAGGCGAUGGAUAACAGGUUGAUAUUCCUGUACCACCUAUA
RNAcentral lists this ribosomal RNA (900 nucleotides) under Staphylococcus aureus. Its description in RNAcentral is "partial 23S ribosomal RNA". It matches the Rfam family "Bacterial large subunit ribosomal RNA", at positions 545 to 1452 of the family's 2925-position model. The record is from RNAcentral. Lineage: Bacteria; Bacillati; Bacillota; Bacilli; Caryophanales; Staphylococcaceae.